UACGUAGGGGGCAAGCGUUGUCCGGAUUUAUUGGGCGUAAAGAGCGUGUAGGCGGCCAGGUAGGUCAGCUGUGAAAACUCGAGGCUCAACCUCGAGACGUCGGUUGAAACCACCUGGCUAGAGUCCGGAAGAGGAGAGUGGAAUUCCUGGUGUAGCGGUGAAAUGCGCAGAUAUCAGGAAGAACACCCGUGGCGAAGGCAGGUCUCUGGGCCACUACUGACGCUGAGAAGCGAAAGCAUGGGGAGCGAACAGG
RNAcentral lists this ribosomal RNA (253 nucleotides) under uncultured bacterium. RNAcentral describes it as "partial 16S ribosomal RNA". It matches the Rfam family "Bacterial small subunit ribosomal RNA", at positions 524 to 776 of the family's 1533-position model. The record is from RNAcentral.